This 492-nucleotide ribosomal RNA is filed under the name uncultured bacterium. RNAcentral's name for it is "partial 16S ribosomal RNA". It matches the Rfam family "Bacterial small subunit ribosomal RNA", at positions 29 to 507 of the family's 1533-position model. The record is from RNAcentral.
AGUGAACGCUGGCGGUAGGCCUAACACAUGCAAGUCGAACGGCAGCACAGUAAGAGCUUGCUCUUACGGGUGGCGAGUGGCGGACGGGUGAGGAAUACAUCGGAAUCUACUUUUUCGUGGGGGAUAACGUAGGGAAACUUACGCUAAUACCGCAUACGACCUACGGGUGAAAGCAGGGGAUCUUCGGACCUUGCGCGAUUGAAUGAGCCGAUGUCGGAUUAGCUAGUUGGCGGGGUAAAGGCCCACCAAGGCGACGAUCCGUAGCUGGUCUGAGAGGAUGAUCAGCCACACUGGAACUGAGACACGGUACAGACUCCUACGGGAGGCAGCGGUGGGGAAUAUUGGACAAUGGGCGCAAUCCUGAUCCAGCCAUACCGCGUGGGUGAAGAAGGCCUUCGGGUUGUAAAGCCCUUUUGUUGGGAAAGAAAAGCAGCAGGUUAAUACCCCGCUGUUCUGACGGUACCCAAAGAAUAAGCACCGGCUAACUUCGUG